This is a long non-coding RNA of Phascolarctos cinereus (koala), 426 nucleotides long. RefSeq lists it as uncharacterized. The record is from RefSeq and is a predicted model, not a curated record. NCBI's taxonomy places the organism in Eukaryota, Metazoa, Chordata, Mammalia, Diprotodontia, Phascolarctidae.
AAGCUUCAGAUCUACUUCUUGGCCAGUGGAGUUAAAACCUGAAAGAAGAGUUGAUUGUGGUGGCAUGCACACUUAUAGUCAUUACUAUCGGGGAGGCUGAUACAUGGAUCAGUUGAAUUUGGGCAUUUUGAGCUGCAAGAGGACUAAACACAAUCAGCUGUCUGCAUUAAGCCUGGCAUCAAUAUGAUUUCUGAAUGGGCUCAGGCCUCCUUCACGAGUGUCCAUCUGCCAUGGAAUAUGGAACAGACCAGGUCCUGACAGACCAAACCAGGAAUUCCCCCACAGAAGCUUAGCUGACAAAGCUACUGAGGGAAGGAAGAGGACCAUGGAUUUAUAAUGUGAGGAUGAUGAUGAGGAAGAAAAGAAUGAGGAGGAUGGUGGGGGAAGUAAUAAUAAUUACUGCCCAAUAAAUAAUUCACAAGAGAA